CUUCUUUUCUCUGUGAAUUUAUAUGGCCGUCCGCGGACAUUCCCGGCGUCUGGUGGUGGGCGAGUUGCCGUUCGGGUGCUGUUGGCGGAGUCUCUGGUCUGGCCUGUUUAGGCUGUGGCGGUGAAAAAUUUGCGGUUGCUGGUUGCGGAAGUUUCGCCCCGUCUGCGCUUCGCCUCACCCUGGCCUCGCCCCGCCCCCCGGCGGCCAGACCUGCGGGUCCGGCAGGAGGAAGAGCACGCCCUACUCGCGGCAUGCGCACGGAGGACCGGCGCCGUCGAUGACGAAGGGUCCUGAGCACGGGCGAACUGGAAGCCCGUCCUGGCCUCCUGGGUGCUGGUGUGGCAGGCCCUACCAAUACAUGCGCAUGUUCUUUUAGUGAUUCGAGCUAACUACUUCCAACUUCAAUUGCCUGUCAGCGCAGAGUAAUAGAUGUUGGCCAACACGUAGUAUUGCAGCCGCAGCAGAUUACCUAGAAAAAGGAACGAUAGUUCUAUUAUUGGCUCAGCAGGAUAACAGCUAAGCCAGUAUCACGCCUGUGUAUGUAUUUAUUUCUCGACCAACACACCGACUUUGACUUCAUUGAUCAUGGUACAACUACGUUAAAUGUUUUUUACUAGAUAUUCAAGUAUUGAGUCCAUGCGUUUUGAAAAUUGAUGAAAUCGAU
This is a long non-coding RNA of Brachypodium distachyon (stiff brome), 664 nucleotides long. RefSeq lists it as uncharacterized. The transcript is spliced from 2 exons. Lineage: Eukaryota; Viridiplantae; Streptophyta; Magnoliopsida; Poales; Poaceae. The record is from RefSeq and is a predicted model, not a curated record.